AUUGAACGCUGGCGGCAGGCCUAACACAUGCAAGUCGAGCGGAUGAAGGGAGCUUGCUCCUGGAUUCAGCGGCGGACGGGUGAGUAAUGCCUAGGAAUCUGCCUGGUAGUGGGGGAUAACGUCCGGAAACGGGCGCUAAUACCGCAUACGUCCUGAGGGAGAAAGUGGGGGAUCUUCGGACCUCACGCUAUCAGAUGAGCCUAGGUCGGAUUAGCUAGUUGGUGGGGUAAAGGCCUACCAAGGCGACGAUCCGUAACUGGUCUGAGAGGAUGAUCAGUCACACUGGAACUGAGACACGGUCCAGACUCCUACGGGAGGCAGCAGUGGGGAAUAUUGGACAAUGGGCGAAAGCCUGAUCCAGCCAUGCCGCGUGUGUGAAGAAGGUCUUCGGAUUGUAAAGUACUUUAAGUUGGGAGGAAGGGCAGUAAGUUAAUACCUUGCUGUUUUGACGUUACCAACAGAAUAGGCACCGGCUAACUUCGUG
This 484-nucleotide ribosomal RNA is filed under the name uncultured bacterium. Its description in RNAcentral is "partial 16S ribosomal RNA". It matches the Rfam family "Bacterial small subunit ribosomal RNA", at positions 30 to 507 of the family's 1533-position model. The record is from RNAcentral.